AAGAUUGAUUCGCGAAUCGCUCCCGCCGCCGCUUCACCACCACCGUCGCCGCCGCCAAGGCGAGGCGCGCAUGCGCACCAUGGAGGGGGCUUCGCCGGAGGAUGACGCCACGAAUGGAGGAGGAGGCGGGGCCGUGGAGAAGACCCCAUCGGCUGAGUGUUCCGCCGCGGACGGGAGGCAGGAGCACCGGGCGGCGGAGGGCUUCCCGGCGAUCUUCAUUAAGGAGGACGUGGAUGCCGGCAAGGAGGGGGAUAAGUGGGUGGGGCAGUACUCGUCGGCGCAGAGCAUCCUGCUACUUCUCCUUCUCCUUGGCGCUUGCCAGUGGCUACGGCUCCGGCAGCAACCUCGUUGCCACUUCCCUCGACUCCUUCGAUACCCUGAAGAAAAAGUACAGCCGGGCAGAAUCGAAUUUGGCAAAGCUCAAAAACAUGGGGGCAACAAUUUUGCAUGGAGUCAAUGCAAAAACCAUGAAGCUUCAUGCUGAUCUCAAGACGAGAAAGUUCGAUAGGGUUGUUUUUAACUUCCCCCAUGCUGGAUUCAGGGGGAAAGAAGAUCAAAUGCACGUAAUCAAUGCACACAGGGAGUUAGUAAAGGACUUUUUCUGUAGUGCGAGUCUCUUGCUUCAGCCUCAUGGUGAAGUUCAUGUCAGCCACAAGACGAAAUACCCUUAUAACAUGUGGAACCUGAAAGAACUUGCUGCAGAGUUUGCUCUUGAUCUGGUUGAGCAAGUUGACUUCCAGAUAGCAGACUACCCUGGCUACAACAAUAAGAGAGGAGAUGGCCUGAGCUGUGACCAACCUUUCAUGCUCGGAAAAUGCAGCACAUUCAAGUUUAGAAUCGGGGAUCUGAAGAAGAUGAGAAGAGUGCACACGUUCGGUUCAGUGCCAUCCAUUGGGAACGGCAGAUUUCAUCCACACAGCUUGGCUUCUGAUGGUUGUAGGCCUUUCUAUCCACCUCCACUUGCUCCGGGGUGGCUGCAGCCUCAUGUUGCAUUUGACAUGUUUAGCGUCCCAGCAGGCUCGGGGUUCUCCCACUAUGAUGCCGUUCAAAGGUGUCUAUCGGUACCAGGAUGUCUUCCUCAACCAAAUAGCACCACGUCAGGUAUCAUUCAUCAGGACCAAACUUGGUAUCAGAGGACGCGUAGUCCGGAACAUUUUCUUCAGGAGCGGGCAACUGUGGCAAGGCUGCGAAUGCUGGUAGCGAUGUAUGGUAGACAGUGAACGAAUCGCAGGUCCUGGAGAGUGAAGAUACUCCGUUUUGGAUUUCCAGCGUUUCAGACUGGCCACGAGGCCGACAGGUGUAUGUGUUCAGGCUUUGAGUGUGUAGUCUUUUGUUGUGUGCGGUUUCGUUCUAACUUAACCAGAGCUUGAUGUAUUUCGGCGAGCCUGUCGCUGCCGGCGCGCCGAAGCCCCCCAGGCCGGCCAUGUGCGCGCCCAGGUCAUGCAAGUUGACCGUCGUGACCACGGCGAGGGCCACGCCGGCCCUGAAGCCUGUGAGGCUACUAGACGAGGUGGCAACGGCGGAGAGGCCGGCGGCGAGGAGGAGGGUGGCGAAUGCGUAGCCACUUGAUGUACUCUCAUUAGAGUUGCGGGGAGCUAGCAGGUGAGGAGGUUGGUGGCGGCAAGAAGCAGAGAAAGAGGGGGUCACAGCCUCACAGGAGAGUGAAGAGUAGACAGGGUUUUUUUUUUGCAAAAAACAUGUGGCCCAAAGUAGCCACGUCGGUAGCAGAUACGCGCCCGAGCUGCACUAGGAUCUGAACUGAACCAUAUAUGAAACAAUUCGGACUCUAGGACCUUUACGACC
Molecule: RNA transcript, 1803 nt
Organism: Brachypodium distachyon (stiff brome)
Lineage: Eukaryota; Viridiplantae; Streptophyta; Magnoliopsida; Poales; Poaceae
Gene name: heavy metal-associated isoprenylated plant protein 41
Exons: 4
Source: RefSeq, a predicted model, not a curated record